This 253-nucleotide ribosomal RNA is filed under the name uncultured bacterium. Its description in RNAcentral is "partial 16S ribosomal RNA". It matches the Rfam family "Bacterial small subunit ribosomal RNA", at positions 524 to 776 of the family's 1533-position model. The record is from RNAcentral.
UACGUAGGGUGCGAGCGUUGUCCGGAAUUAUUGGGCGUAAAGAGCUCGUAGGCGGUUUGUCGCGUCUGCUGUGAAAACUGGAGGCUCAACCUUCAGAGGUCGACCGAAACCAUCUGGCUAGAGUCCGGGAGAGGAGAGUGGAAUUCCUGGUGUAGCGGUGAAAUGCGCAGAUAUCAGGAAGAACACCCGUGGCGAAAGCGGCUCUCUGGAACGGUACUGACGCUGAGACGCGAAAGCGUGGGGAGCGAACAGG